Molecule: long non-coding RNA, 1113 nt
Organism: Oreochromis aureus
Lineage: Eukaryota; Metazoa; Chordata; Actinopteri; Cichliformes; Cichlidae
Source: Ensembl
UGUCUGUAAAUAGGAGGGCAGCAAUACAGAGUGGAGGAGAAGACAAGGUGGGAGGGGGUCUCAUCCCAGAAAUAGCAAGGGAUGCCAAAUGAUGGCUGGAGCAGAGGAGAGACCGGUGACUUUGAGGAAAAGAAGAGGAGGAUGGCCCAGGGCGAGCAGAAGUGUAAUGUUAAGGCACUAACUACGGAGUGUAUGGAGACACACACAGCAGAGAGAGACGUUCAUGUGUGAAAUGAGAUCUCAGCACAAUCAGUGGGAGUCGCAGCCAUAAAGCACAUCAAGCCUUACAGCUUUAAGAUAAACCCAAGAUGUCAUGAAGCUGAGCGUGCCUCAACAAACCCCAAAUGUUGCCACGAUUCAAUCAACCUUUUGAGUCUUGCAGCCUGUGAUUUAGCCACACGUUACAAAAUCUUUAAACAGCUUUUAAUUUCAACUUUAUUUUAGCUUAGAAAAAUUACACAGUGACUUAUUAGUAAUCAUAGUCACCAGCCUUAUAUCUUGCACAACAAGGCAGAUAGUUCUGGCUUAGUAAUAUCUCAUUUUUACAAUAGAGCACUAUAAUCUAUCAAAUACACCAGCAGAACAAUGAUUUUUUUUAAUGCUUUGUCAUUUGCAAUAGAUUUUCAGCAAAUGUCCCACAGGCCUCCAGAAUCUAUGCAUCUCAUUCUCCUAUUUGCCAAGCAUAAAUCUUGAAUCAUUGUAGGAUAUAAGACAUGAUUAUACUCUGUAUUCUUCUAUAAACCCCUGACGUCUAACUACAAGCUGAAAUAUGUUUGUAUGCAAACAAAGAAAGUCAAGGGGCUAUGAUGGGCGAGGUGGGAUUUCCACAGCUCUUCUUCACUCUGAUGGAUGGAUGGAUCAGCGAUACCCAGAUGGAUGGAGAGAGCGACUGGGCACAGACACAGGAGGAGAAUGUGUGGCAAAAUCAAGGGAUUAGCACAGCAGGAGAUCAGUGAUGAUGUUUGAACUGCCAUUCCGAAACAUUUUAUCCUUAACCCCUAAAACAAAAGUGUACAAAUCUGGGUGAAAUCUCAAUACAUACAACAAAUACAUACAUAUGUAUAAAUAUGUAUCUUUAAGACACACGAACAAUUUCUCUCUAAAACAAUAAAU